Molecule: ribosomal RNA, 253 nt
Filed under: uncultured bacterium
Lineage: Bacteria
Description: partial 16S ribosomal RNA
Rfam family: Bacterial small subunit ribosomal RNA
Source: RNAcentral
UACGUAGGGGGCAAGCGUUGUCCGGAAUCAUUGGGCGUAAAGAGCUCGUAGGCGGUUCGUCGCGUCGGCUGUGAAAUCCCGAGGCUCAACCUCGGGUCUGCAGUCGAUACGGGCGGACUGGAGUUCGGCAGGGGAGACUGGAAUUCCUGGUGUAGCGGUGAAAUGCGCAGAUAUCAGGAGGAACACCGGUGGCGAAGGCGGGUCUCUGGGCCGAUACUGACGCUGAGGAGCGAAAGCGUGGGGAGCGAACAGG